This 991-nucleotide long non-coding RNA is filed under the name Salmo salar (Atlantic salmon). RNAcentral's name for it is "lncRNA (ENSSSAG00000106583.1)". The stretch from base 341 to 386 matches the Rfam family "Histone 3' UTR stem-loop". The record is from RNAcentral. Lineage: Eukaryota; Metazoa; Chordata; Actinopteri; Salmoniformes; Salmonidae.
GGGCACAUUGUUGUUUUUGACUUCACACUGCACAGCUGAUUCAAAUGAUUCAAACUCAUCAUCAAGCUUCAAGUGAUACCUUGUAACUGGAGAUUCCUUCAAAACGAUUGUCUACAGUUACCGUGUAGGACACUGCAAGGUUGGGUGACCAAGGACCAGGAGGGGAUCUGCAGCUCGCCGCCGUGUGCCAGAGGAGGAGUCUGCUGCUCUGCAGGAUGUUUCAAGGAUGGGGUCCAACAACGCAGCAAGAGAGGCAAUCCGUGUGCAGGAGAUCUUCACCUCCUACUUCAUCAAAGAGGGUGCUGUUCCCUGACAACACCAUAGAUGUCACUAUGCACAACCAAAAGCUCUUUUAAGAGCCAUUCACAUUGCAGUAAGACUAUUCUUCCAUUUACUGAGCUAUGUCAACUGCAGUUAUUCAAUUCACAGUUUCUCUCCCUUUGAUUUCUACUUCUCAGGUGAGGGUGCUGUUUAGGUAAGGGUGUGAUGUCUGUGCAAAAACAAAACAGGCUAUUUUAAAUCACCCAUAUUGAAAAAAUGUAGAACAAUUAGACACCCUAUAACCCACACCUACACACUCAUGAAUCAAUCUGAUUGAUGGAUUGUGUUGUGCAGUAAACAGGCUCAGGUGUAUAACUGUGGCUCCUUCCACCUUCAAAGAAUAGGCAAGAGGGCCAACCAUGGAGAAUAGUAAGACACUUCAUUAUUUCUAUAACUACGCUGUAUUGUUUGUCCUUGUUGGUCCGUUCAUGUUUUUCAGCAUAAAGUACUCUGCAGCCACUUAGUGUGGUGUGGACACCAGGUGAGGCCACACAGAGAUUCCUGUUGAACACUGUCGCUUUAACUACCUUAUUUUCUCAAUAACAGUCUCUCUCCUUCACUUCAUCCCUCUCUCCUCUUCUCCCUAAAUCCUCUAGGUUAUAUCAGCUGUGUCUGUGAACCCCUCCUGCAUCUGAACUGGCUACAUAGAGGGCACAGCAUGAUCAGAGGU